UACGGAGGGUGCAAGCGGUCUCCGGAAUCACUGGGUUUAAAGGGUGCGUAGGCGGUUCGAUAAGUUAGAGGUGAAAGCUAGCAGCUUAAAUGUUAAAUUGCCUUUGAUACUGUUGGACUUGAAUCAGGUUGAGGUAGGCGGAAUGUGACAUGUAGCGGUGAAAUGCAUAGAUAUGUCAUAGAACACCAAUUGCGUAGGCAGCUUGCUGGGCUUGAAUUGACGCUGAGGCACGAAAGCGUGGGGAUCAAACAGG
Molecule: ribosomal RNA, 253 nt
Filed under: uncultured bacterium
Lineage: Bacteria
Description: partial 16S ribosomal RNA
Rfam family: Bacterial small subunit ribosomal RNA
Source: RNAcentral